GUGAUGUUCUUAUGAUUACAAGGAGGGUGUUCAAAUACAAGAAUUCUAACUACUGGAACCUUCUAUCACGAUAUCGGAUUAAAAAAAGAAAGUACAUUUACAAAAAAGCUGAACUAAAUCAUUCUUAUAAGAUUAUGGCCGACUGGAAUGAUGAUACCUGCGUAAUUAAAUGUGAAGUAGAAUAAUUGACUUCCGACUAUCGUCUACCACGCACGAAUUUUGCAGAUAUGACUUAUUAGUAAAUUUACUAAUUGUUAAGGGGAUGUUACAAUAUCUUGUUGAUUCACGUAAAACAGGCAAGUCAAAACUUUUUCAGUAAUCAUGGGAUCGUCAAAGCGAAUUGUAAAGAAUUUUUGACAAUGUGGCCAUCUGCGAGACCGAAAGUUGAAUUGAAAAACUGGCUACUACUGUAGAUUGCUCCAGUCUUUCCUUAAAUUUAUCGAGAAAAUACGUCAAUAAACCUGUAAAACCAUUAAAUUUGUUUAGUUUAAA
Molecule: long non-coding RNA, 492 nt
Organism: Scaptodrosophila lebanonensis
Lineage: Eukaryota; Metazoa; Arthropoda; Insecta; Diptera; Drosophilidae
Exons: 2
Source: RefSeq, a predicted model, not a curated record